This 424-nucleotide ribosomal RNA is filed under the name uncultured rumen bacterium. Its description in RNAcentral is "bacterial SSU rRNA". It matches the Rfam family "Bacterial small subunit ribosomal RNA", at positions 354 to 776 of the family's 1533-position model. The record is from RNAcentral.
GUGGGGAAUAUUGGACAAUGGCCGGAAGGCUGAUCCAGCCAUGCCGCGUGAAGGAUAAGGUCCUAUGGAUUGUAAACUUCUUUUGAGUGGGAGCAAUAAGGAUGUCGUGACAUCCGAUGAGAGUACCAUUCGAAUAAGCAUCGGCUAACUCCGUGCCAGCAGCCGCGGUAAUACGGAGGAUGCGAGCGUUAUCCGGAUUUAUUGGGUUUAAAGGGUGCGUAGGCGGUUUGUCAAGUCAGCGGUGAAACGCAAGGGCUUAACCCUUGACCUGCCGUUGAAACUGAUUGACUAGAAUGCGGAUGCUGUGGGAGGAAUGUGUGGUGUAGCGGUGAAAUGCAUAGAUAUCACACAGAACACCGAUUGCGAAGGCAUCUCACAAAUCCGUGAUUGACGCUGAGGCACGAAAGUGUGGGGAUCAAACAGG